ACAUGAGUGUGAUCUGCGUCCUCAUCUGGACUCUCCUCUGCUGCUGCUUCACAGAGUCCAGAGGACAGGUCACAGUGACUCAGUCUGGAGCAGUGAGCUUCAAUGUGGGAGGAUCUGUCUCCAUCUCAUGUACUACCAACAAUAAAGGAAUGUAUGGAAUCGAUCUUUCCUGGUAUCAACAGAAAAAUGGAGAAACUCCUAAACUACUAAUUUACACUGCUAGCACUCGAGCAUCUGGAACUCCAACUCGUUUUACAGGCAGUGGAUCAAGCUCUAGCACUGAUUUCACUCUGACCAUCAGUGGAGUUCAGAGUGAAGAUGCUGCAGUUUAUUACUGUAUGAGUCUCAUAACCAUCAACAGUCAGUGGGUGUUCACACAGUGA
Oryzias melastigma (Indian medaka) is the source of this 383-nucleotide non-coding RNA. NCBI's taxonomy places the organism in Eukaryota, Metazoa, Chordata, Actinopteri, Beloniformes, Adrianichthyidae. The record is from the annotation of a RefSeq genome assembly.